GAUGAACGCUGGCGGCGUGCCUAAUACAUGCAAGUCGAGCGAACGGACGAGAAGCUUGCUUCUCUGAUGUUAGCGGCGGACGGGUGAGUAACACGUGGAUAACCUACCUAUAAGACUGGGAUAACUUCGGGAAACCGUAGCUAAUACCGGAUAAUAUUUUGAACCGCAUGGUUCAAAAGUGAAAGACGGUCUUGCUGUCACUUAUAGAUGGAUCCGCGCUGCAUUAGCUAGUUGGUAAGGUAACGGCUUACCAAGGCAACGAUGCAUAGCCGACCUGAGAGGGUGAUCGGCCACACUGGAACUGAGACACGGUCCAGACUCCUACGGGAGGCAGCAGUAGGGAAUCUUCCGCAAUGGGCGAAAGCCUGACGGAGCAACGCCGCGUGAGUGAUGAAGGUCUUCGGAUCGUAAAACUCUGUUAUUAGGGAAGAACAUAUGUGUAAGUAACUGUGCACAUCUUGACGGUACCUAAUCAGAAAGCCACGGCUAAGUACGUG
Molecule: ribosomal RNA, 497 nt
Filed under: uncultured bacterium
Lineage: Bacteria
Description: partial 16S ribosomal RNA
Rfam family: Bacterial small subunit ribosomal RNA
Source: RNAcentral